RNAcentral lists this ribosomal RNA (253 nucleotides) under uncultured bacterium. RNAcentral describes it as "partial 16S ribosomal RNA". It matches the Rfam family "Bacterial small subunit ribosomal RNA", at positions 524 to 776 of the family's 1533-position model. The record is from RNAcentral.
UACGUAGGGUGCAAGCGUUGUCCGGAAUUAUUGGGCGUAAAGAGCUCGUAGGCGGUUUGUUGCGUCGGCUGUGAAAUCCCGAGGCUCAACCUCGGGUCUGCAGUCGAUACGAGCAAACUAGAGUGUUGCAGGGGAGACUGGAAUUCCUGGUGUAGCGGUGAAAUGCGUAGAGAUCCGGAGGAACACCAGAGGCGAAGGCGGCCUACUGGGCUGCACCUGACGCUGAGCCGCGAAAGCCAGGGGAGCGAACGGG